RNAcentral lists this unclassified non-coding RNA (417 nucleotides) under Hevea brasiliensis (rubber tree). The record is from RNAcentral. Lineage: Eukaryota; Viridiplantae; Streptophyta; Magnoliopsida; Malpighiales; Euphorbiaceae.
GUGGAAGGGAAUCCACCGGCCCGAAACGCAGCUUUGAAAUCAAAGUCUUUGCCAUAUAGAAGUACAGAAGUGAAUGGCUUGGAGAGCUGACCAAUGGCUGCUGACACACCAGCUGCAAUCAAUACCUUGUUUUGAGCGAUUCCAGCAAUAUCCUCAAGACCCACGUUGAGGAAGCAACUGAAUUUACUACUGGUGCUUGUCUUACAUGACUUGCUGGGCAUUCCAAGAAGAGGAAGACUGAACUUAUAAUUGGCAUUGUAAUUGCAAGAUUGGUGGUGGGGUUUGGAAUCUGAAAGAGAUAACAAAAAGUUAUGAGAGAACAGCGCAGUCGAUUUUGGAUAAGAAGCGUAACUCCAACACUGCAGUACCAUUUUUCGUCACUCUCUCUCUAAUUGACCACCACCCAACUAGGCUCUU